This 73-nucleotide transfer RNA is filed under the name Limosilactobacillus mucosae. RNAcentral describes it as "Lactobacillus mucosae tRNA_Ala_TGC". It matches the Rfam family "tRNA". From Rfam's summary of the family: Transfer RNA (tRNA) molecules are approximately 80 nucleotides in length. The record is from RNAcentral. Lineage: Bacteria; Bacillati; Bacillota; Bacilli; Lactobacillales; Lactobacillaceae.
GGGGAAUUUAGCUCAGCUGGGAGAGCACUGCUUUGCAAGCAGGAGGUCAUCGGUUCGAUCCCGUUAUUCUCCA